Equus quagga is the source of this 655-nucleotide long non-coding RNA. RefSeq lists it as uncharacterized. The transcript has 3 exons. The record is from RefSeq and is a predicted model, not a curated record. NCBI's taxonomy places the organism in Eukaryota, Metazoa, Chordata, Mammalia, Perissodactyla, Equidae.
GCUGUUUUUCACUAUUCUUCCUGAACCGUUGGCCAUUGUUUUCUAAGUUUCUGAACGGUGACCAUGAAACUGGCCGAAAUCCGCUGCUACCUGGAGAAAGAAAAGGACAGUACCUGGAGGGACACAGAAGGAGGGCCCUCCAAUCUCACUCAAAGGGAUGCUCCACGUCUGCCAGAAUCUUCUCCUUUCACCAAAAAAGGUGAUAAGAAAGGCCUGGAGAAGGCAACGGCCAGGAAGCCUGAAGGCACAUGUGUGGAAGCGGACUCUCCACAACAAGGAGGCAAGGUGAAUGUCGUCUCUUUGAACAUUGAGCAAAGGUAUCAGGAGUGAGGACGACUAGGAAAGAAGACUGGAGAGGAUGAUAAAGUCUCUUCCUAGAAGCAGAAAUGGCCUGUCAUUGCAUGGAAGUGAGACGGCUUAGCAAUAAGGAAAGGCCACCACCCACAAUUGUCACUUGUCUGCUUGUUGCUUCUUUCAUCUCACAACGUUCCACACAAGCAAUAGCCAAACAUGCAAAAUUGAGCCAAAUAACACACUAGAAUCAGGAAUGUUUCUCUCAUGUAUUCCUAGGGCAACAGCACAUCACACUUUGAGCAGAACGUUCUCAGUCAUGCUUGUUGUCUCCAUAUAAUUACUGAUGCUGCCUUCCUUCACG